GACGAACGCUGGCGGCGUGCUUAACACAUGCAAGUCGAACGGAAAGGCCCUGCUUUUGUGGGGUGCUCGAGUGGCGAACGGGUGAGUAACACGUGAGUAACCUGCCCUUGACUUUGGGAUAACUUCAGGAAACUGGGGCUAAUACCGGAUAGGAGCUCCUGCUGCAUGGUGGGGGUUGGAAAGUUUCGGCGGUUGGGGAUGGACUCGCGGCUUAUCAGCUUGUUGGUGGGGUAGUGGCUUACCAAGGCUUUGACGGGUAGCCGGCCUGAGAGGGUGACCGGCCACAUUGGGACUGAGAUACGGCCCAGACUCCUACGGGAGGCUGCAGUGGGGAAUAUUGCACAAUGGGCGGAAGCCUGAUGCAGCAACGCCGCGUGCGGGAUGACGGCCUUCGGGUUGGAAACCGCUUUCGCCUGUGACGAAGCGUGAGUGACGGUAAUGGGUAAAGAAGCACCGGCUAACUACGU
Molecule: ribosomal RNA, 467 nt
Filed under: uncultured bacterium
Lineage: Bacteria
Description: partial 16S ribosomal RNA
Rfam family: Bacterial small subunit ribosomal RNA
Source: RNAcentral